This 1324-nucleotide ribosomal RNA is filed under the name Enterococcus faecium Com12. RNAcentral's name for it is "bacterial SSU rRNA". It matches the Rfam family "Bacterial small subunit ribosomal RNA", at positions 208 to 1520 of the family's 1533-position model. Lineage: Bacteria; Bacillati; Bacillota; Bacilli; Lactobacillales; Enterococcaceae. The record is from RNAcentral.
CGCUUUCGGGUGUCGCUGAUGGAUGGACCCGCGGUGCAUUAGCUAGUUGGUGAGGUAACGGCUCACCAAGGCCACGAUGCAUAGCCGACCUGAGAGGGUGAUCGGCCACAUUGGGACUGAGACACGGCCCAAACUCCUACGGGAGGCAGCAGUAGGGAAUCUUCGGCAAUGGACGAAAGUCUGACCGAGCAACGCCGCGUGAGUGAAGAAGGUUUUCGGAUCGUAAAACUCUGUUGUUAGAGAAGAACAAGGAUGAGAGUAACUGUUCAUCCCUUGACGGUAUCUAACCAGAAAGCCACGGCUAACUACGUGCCAGCAGCCGCGGUAAUACGUAGGUGGCAAGCGUUGUCCGGAUUUAUUGGGCGUAAAGCGAGCGCAGGCGGUUUCUUAAGUCUGAUGUGAAAGCCCCCGGCUCAACCGGGGAGGGUCAUUGGAAACUGGGAGACUUGAGUGCAGAAGAGGAGAGUGGAAUUCCAUGUGUAGCGGUGAAAUGCGUAGAUAUAUGGAGGAACACCAGUGGCGAAGGCGGCUCUCUGGUCUGUAACUGACGCUGAGGCUCGAAAGCGUGGGGAGCAAACAGGAUUAGAUACCCUGGUAGUCCACGCCGUAAACGAUGAGUGCUAAGUGUUGGAGGGUUUCCGCCCUUCAGUGCUGCAGCUAACGCAUUAAGCACUCCGCCUGGGGAGUACGACCGCAAGGUUGAAACUCAAAGGAAUUGACGGGGGCCCGCACAAGCGGUGGAGCAUGUGGUUUAAUUCGAAGCAACGCGAAGAACCUUACCAGGUCUUGACAUCCUUUGACCACUCUAGAGAUAGAGCUUCCCCUUCGGGGGCAAAGUGACAGGUGGUGCAUGGUUGUCGUCAGCUCGUGUCGUGAGAUGUUGGGUUAAGUCCCGCAACGAGCGCAACCCUUAUUGUUAGUUGCCAUCAUUCAGUUGGGCACUCUAGCAAGACUGCCGGUGACAAACCGGAGGAAGGUGGGGAUGACGUCAAAUCAUCAUGCCCCUUAUGACCUGGGCUACACACGUGCUACAAUGGGAAGUACAACGAGUUGCGAAGUCGCGAGGCUAAGCUAAUCUCUUAAAGCUUCUCUCAGUUCGGAUUGCAGGCUGCAACUCGCCUGCAUGAAGCCGGAAUCGCUAGUAAUCGCGGAUCAGCACGCCGCGGUGAAUACGUUCCCGGGCCUUGUACACACCGCCCGUCACACCACGAGAGUUUGUAACACCCGAAGUCGGUGAGGUAACCUUUUGGAGCCAGCCGCCUAAGGUGGGAUAGAUGAUUGGGGUGAAGUCGUAACAAGGUAGCCGUAUCGGAAGGUGCGGCUG